Molecule: ribosomal RNA, 459 nt
Filed under: uncultured bacterium
Lineage: Bacteria
Description: partial 16S ribosomal RNA
Rfam family: Bacterial small subunit ribosomal RNA
Source: RNAcentral
CCUACGGGAGGCAGCAGUGAGGAAUAUUGGUCAAUGGCCGGAAGGCUUAACCAGCCAAGCCGCGUGAAGGACGAAGGUGCCAAGCAUUUUAAACUUCUUUUGUCAAGGGACAAAAUCAGGCUCGAGAGCCUGACCGAGGGUACUUUAAGAAAAAGCAUCGGCUAACUCAGUGCCAGCAGCCGCGGUAAUACGGAGGAUGCGAUGGUUAUCCGGAUUUAUUGGGUUAAAGGGGUGCGUAGGUGGGCUGUUAAGUCAGCGGGAAAAGCCCGGGGCUCAACCCCGGCGAGCCGUUGAAACUGGCUGUCUUGAGAUGUCGAGAGGUAUGCGGAAUGCGCAGUGUAGCGGUGAAAUGCUUAGAUAUUGCGCAGAACUCCGAUUGCGAAGGCAGCAUACCGGCGGCGAUCUGACGCUGAGGCACGAAAGCGUGGGUAUCGAACAGGAUUAGAUACCCUAGUAGUC